RNAcentral lists this ribosomal RNA (468 nucleotides) under uncultured bacterium. RNAcentral's name for it is "partial 16S ribosomal RNA". It matches the Rfam family "Bacterial small subunit ribosomal RNA", at positions 28 to 507 of the family's 1533-position model. The record is from RNAcentral.
GACGAACGCUGGCGGCGUGCUUAACACAUGCAAGUCGAACGGAAAGGCCCUGCUUUGGUGGGGUGCUCGAGUGGCGAACGGGUGAGUAACACGUGAGUAACCUGCCCUUGACUUUGGGAUAACUUCAGGAAACUGGGGCUAAUACCGGAUAGGAGCUCCUGCUGCAUGGUGGGGGUUGGAAAGUUUCGGCGGUUGGGGAUGGACUCGCGGCUUAUCAGCUUGUUGGUGGGGUAGUGGCUUACCAAGGCUUUGACGGGUAGCCGGCCUGAGAGGGUGACCGGCCACAUUGGGACUGAGAUACGGCCCAGACUCAUACGGGAGGCAGCAGUGGGGAAUUUUCCACACUGGGCGGCAGCCUGAAGCAGCAACUCCGCGUGCGGGAUGACGGCCUUCGGGUUGUAACCCGCUUUCGCCUGUGACGAAGCGUGAGUGACGGUAAUGGGUAAAGAAGCACCGGCUAACUACGUG